CCUACACAUGCAAGUCGAGCGAGACCUUCGGGUCUAGCGGCGGACGAGUUAGUAAGCCUUGGGAACGUACCUUUUGCUUCGGAAUAGCCUCGGGAAACUGGGAGUAAUACCGAAUGUGCCCUUUGGGGGAAAGAUUUAUCGGCAAAAGAUCGGCCCGCGUCUGAUUAGAUAGUUGGUGGGGUAAUGGCCUACCAAGUCUGCGAUCAGUAGCUGGUUUGAGAGGAUGAUCAGCAACACUGGGACUGAGACACGGCCCAGACUCCUACGGGAGGCAGCAGUGGGGAAUCUUAGACAAUGGGCGCAAGCCUGAUCUAGCGAUGCCGCGUGAGUGACGAAGGCCUUAGGGUCGUAAAGCUCUUUCGCCAGGGAUGAUAAUGACAGUACCUGGUAAAGAAACCCCGGCUAACUCCGUGCCAGCAGCCGCGGUAAUACGGAGGGGGUUAGCGUUGUUCGGAAUUACUGGGCGUAAAGCGCACGUAGGCGGAUUAGAAAGUUGGGGGUGAAAUCCCAGGG
Molecule: ribosomal RNA, 513 nt
Filed under: uncultured bacterium
Lineage: Bacteria
Description: bacterial SSU rRNA
Rfam family: Bacterial small subunit ribosomal RNA
Source: RNAcentral